RNAcentral lists this transfer RNA (71 nucleotides) under Jakoba bahamiensis. Its description in RNAcentral is "tRNA-Cys". It matches the Rfam family "tRNA". From Rfam's summary of the family: Transfer RNA (tRNA) molecules are approximately 80 nucleotides in length. Their secondary structure includes four short double-helical elements and three loops (D, anti-codon, and T loops). Further hydrogen bonds mediate the characteristic L-shaped molecular structure. tRNAs have two regions of fundamental functional importance: the anti-codon, which is responsible for specific mRNA codon recognition, and the 3' end, to which the tRNAs corresponding amino acid is attached (by aminoacyl-tRNA synthetases). tRNAs cope with the degeneracy of the genetic code in two manners: having more than one tRNA (with a specific anti-codon) for a particular amino acid; and 'wobble' base-pairing, i.e. permitting non-standard base-pairing at the 3rd anti-codon position. The record is from RNAcentral. Lineage: Eukaryota; Jakobea; Jakobida; Jakobidae.
GGCUGGAUAGCAUAAUGGUGAUGUGUUAGACUGCAAAUCUAAUAAUGGCGGUUCGAUUCCGCCUCUAGCCU